Molecule: ribosomal RNA, 616 nt
Filed under: Trichormus sp. MACC 140
Lineage: Bacteria; Bacillati; Cyanobacteriota; Cyanophyceae; Nostocales; Nostocaceae
Description: bacterial SSU rRNA
Rfam family: Bacterial small subunit ribosomal RNA
Source: RNAcentral
CAUGGGGAGGCUUACACAUGCAGUCGAACGGUCUCUUCGGAGAUAGUGGCGGACGGGUGAGUAACGCGUGAGAAUCUAGCUUCAGGUCGGGGACAACCACUGGAAACGGUGGCUAAUACCGGAUGUGCCGAAAGGUGAAAGAUUUAUUGCCUGAAGAUGAGCUCGCGUCUGAUUAGCUAGUUGGUGUGGUAAGAGCGCACCAAGGCGACGAUCAGUAGCUGGUCUGAAAGGAUGAUCAGCCACACUGGGACUGAGACACGGCCCAUACUCCUACGGGAGGCAGCAGUGGGGAAUUUUCCGCAAUGGGCGAAAGCCUGACGGAGCAAUACCGCGUGAGGGAGGAAGGCUCUUGGGUUGUAAACCUCUUUUCUCAGGGAAUAAAAAAAUGAAGGUACCUGAGGAAUAAGCAUCGGCUAACUCCGUGCCAGCAGCCGCGGUAAUACGGAGGAUGCAAGCGUUAUCCGGAAUGAUUGGGCGUAAAGCGUCCGCAGGUGGCACUGUAAGUCUGCUGUUAAAGAGCAAGGCUCAACCUUGUAAAGGCAGUGGAAACUACAGAGCUAGAGUACGUUCGGGGCAGAGGGAAUUCCUGGUGUAGCGGUGAAAUGCGUAAAAAUAC